CUCUUAUCGAGAGUGGUGGAGGGACUGGCCCGAUGAAACCCGGCAGCCGGCACAUUAAGUGCGUCUGGUGCUAAAUCCUGCAGGUGAAACCUGAGAGAUGAGAG
Molecule: non-coding RNA, 104 nt
Filed under: Caldanaerobius fijiensis
Lineage: Bacteria; Bacillati; Bacillota; Clostridia; Thermoanaerobacterales; Thermoanaerobacteraceae
Also listed under: 1 other name
Description: SAM-I sequence
Rfam family: SAM riboswitch aptamer (S box leader)
About the family: The SAM riboswitch is found upstream of a number of genes which code for proteins involved in methionine or cysteine biosynthesis in Gram-positive bacteria. The SAM riboswitch acts at the level of transcription termination control. The predicted structure consists of a complex stem-loop region followed by a single stem loop terminator region.
Source: RNAcentral